GGUAGGCUUGUAACAACACAAGUUUUGACAACAUCUCUCUUAACAACACCGAGCUCCCUUCCCCGAGUAAAUUUGGGGAGGAUACCUUUGUCCGUCUUAAAGAUUUACUCCAAAGAGCGAGCUAGCUCACAGUCUUUGAAUGAAUAACAGAUCCAAAUAUCUUUAUAAGAUCCAAUAGCAUUUCCAAAGGAACAAUAGCAUUGCUGCAAAUUUGAGGCGAUGUAGCAGAUUAACUUCAGAAUGAAAUGGACCAGCUAUUAUAUUAUUGUAAGCUAAAUGUAUAAAUGUAAAAUCAUAGUUAGUUGCAAAAGUAAGUUAAAUGUUCACACAGAGGAUAGCCAAUGUCACCCAUGGCACAAAAACACAAUAUAACGGAAACAAAAUGUUAGAAUAAAACGCUAAUGCAAGAUCAUAGACGACACACCGAGGCACGAUAUUUGUUAACGAGGUUCACCGAUAUGGCUACAUCCCCGAGGCAUGACUAUGGGCGCUCCUCCCCAAGAUACCGCAACACCGGCCGCCCGGGCGCCGGCACAAGUCGCCGGCUUCCCCGCGUACCUAUUGCUAUCCGAUCGUCAUGGGUUACAACGUGUGGUGCCCCUCGAUAUAUAAGAGGCCUAGGAUACAACGUGUCCGACUCCUACACGACUCAUACCUAUCCACACCGAUUACAACUCCAANNN
Molecule: long non-coding RNA, 683 nt
Filed under: Hordeum vulgare
Lineage: Eukaryota; Viridiplantae; Streptophyta; Magnoliopsida; Poales; Poaceae
Description: long non-coding RNA (HVUL_LNC016299)
Source: RNAcentral